ACAGAUGUAGCUCAGUGGUAGAGUACUUGCCUCACAUGCACAAGAUCUUGGGUUCAAUUCCCAGCACCAGAA
This 72-nucleotide transfer RNA is filed under the name Cavia porcellus (domestic guinea pig). It matches the Rfam family "tRNA". Rfam says of the family: Transfer RNA (tRNA) molecules are approximately 80 nucleotides in length. Their secondary structure includes four short double-helical elements and three loops (D, anti-codon, and T loops). Further hydrogen bonds mediate the characteristic L-shaped molecular structure. tRNAs have two regions of fundamental functional importance: the anti-codon, which is responsible for specific mRNA codon recognition, and the 3' end, to which the tRNAs corresponding amino acid is attached (by aminoacyl-tRNA synthetases). tRNAs cope with the degeneracy of the genetic code in two manners: having more than one tRNA (with a specific anti-codon) for a particular amino acid; and 'wobble' base-pairing, i.e. permitting non-standard base-pairing at the 3rd anti-codon position. Lineage: Eukaryota; Metazoa; Chordata; Mammalia; Rodentia; Caviidae. The record is from Rfam by way of RNAcentral.